GGUCUUGUGGCCUAGUGGUUAUGGCACAUGCUUUACACGCAUGGGAUCGCAGGUUCGAUCCCUGCCAAGAUCA
Molecule: transfer RNA, 73 nt
Filed under: Eutypa lata UCREL1
Lineage: Eukaryota; Fungi; Ascomycota; Sordariomycetes; Xylariales; Diatrypaceae
Description: tRNA-Val (TAC) (tRNA-Val-TAC-1-1)
Rfam family: tRNA
About the family: Transfer RNA (tRNA) molecules are approximately 80 nucleotides in length. Their secondary structure includes four short double-helical elements and three loops (D, anti-codon, and T loops).
Source: RNAcentral